Bombus huntii is the source of this 5162-nucleotide RNA transcript. It is a transcript of the gene named lysosomal alpha-glucosidase-like, with no coding region annotated. The record is from RefSeq and is a predicted model, not a curated record. Lineage: Eukaryota; Metazoa; Arthropoda; Insecta; Hymenoptera; Apidae. The transcript has 19 exons.
GACAAAGCGUUCAUCCCGUGACCGCGGCUACGUUCAGCGACUAGCUGUCGCCUCGAGCCCAAGCUCAUUAUCACAACUCGCGAACAAUUACAAUCGGAUUGAAUAACUACAAUUGUUCAAUUACAGCUAUAGUAGACUCUAGAUUACAAUGUUGCGGGAUUAUCCAAAAUUCCAAAGGCUCCGGUGUUCUUUCAUCUCCGACAUAUAUAUAUAUAUAUAUAUAUAUAUAUAUACACAAGGAAAUUAAGAAAGGACAACAAAACAUUACUAGGAACAUUCUUAAUUCGCGUGCAAAACAGAUCAAUCAUGCUAAAAACUAGCUGAAUAUUGUGCAGCUACAAAUCAUAGCGACCGACUGACGAUCGAAGAAGGAAAAUUUAUAAGGCCAAACAAUAUGAUCGAAUUAUAUAACAAUAUCGUGGUCUCAUUUUAAUCAAAAAAAUUUCACUAUAUGCAAAGAUAUGUGAAGCAACUGCGAGCCGUUUAUUGUCAUAAAAUGGUCGCCCCAAACGCCAUGUAUCAUGUACUUACCUAAGUGUCUACAUAGUAUCAGUAGCGUGAGCAGUGAGCAUUCUCAUUUCCUCUCUGUACAAAAUAAUGCUCGAUGAUAAGUGGGAUUUUCAUGUUGUAUAUAAGAGAACAUUUUAAUACUAAUAAAAUAUAUAUAGUGGGAAAUUUAGUUAAAUAUAUUAUUGUAGAAGAUAAUCAUGUUUGACGUAUUACAACGUGCAUAAGUCUGUAAAAAUAAUGAAGAUUCAUGUUUCUUAUAUGUAUUAAUAGUAUGUAUAUGGUUAUCUUUUGUACGUGGCUCUUAAGGUGGUGGCCUAUUCAAUACUCAAAGAGAUACAAAAUACCGAAGUUAAUUAACGAAUUAACGAAUGGAGAAAUUUAUAAAAACAAUAGAAAUGAAUGUGAAAGAUAUACAACAAUUUGUACCAAAAAAUAAGGUUUUAGAUAGAUAUUCCAAGUAUAUAUUAACAUAUAAUUUUCUGAAAUUGAUCAUGUUCAUUAUUCUGCUUGGUGUAAUAAUAGUAUUUUUACAACAAAGCAAAUGCAUUAUUAUAGAAGAAUAUAAAAUAGAUAUAAUCUCUAGAAAUGAUGAAAUUCUACAGAAUACGAAUUAUAAACUGGUUAAUGAUUCUAUGAUAUUAUCUAAAAAAGAAAAUUUUGAAUAUGAUAUAGAAUCUCAUGACACAAUAUUGAAAUUUCCUAGAAUUGUGCAAAAGCAGUGCAAUAACAUUCCCGUUACAUUACGCUUUGAUUGUCAUCCUGAAGAUGGAGCAUCCGAAUUAUCCUGUAGAAAUAGAGGUUGUUGUUGGAAUUCUCUUAACAAAAAAAUAUCAACGACAAGACCUGUUCCUUUGAAUCUUCCAUAUUGUUAUUAUCCAAGUGAUUGGAGCAUAUACAGGUAUCAAAAUUUUAGUAAAGAAGGAAACAACUUUUUUGGAUUCCUCAAACAAAUAAAAAGCUCCUUUUAUGAAGAUGACCUACCACUGGUUAAAGUAGAAACCAGCACUAUAGAUGAUACUAUUCUACGUAUAAAAAUAUAUGAUCCUCUUAAGAAACGAUAUGAACCACCAUGGCCUCUCAGAGCAGAUCCCAAACCAUUUUUUCAAAAAAACGUUAAUGCAAAAUACAAAUUAGAAAUUGAUAAUACUAAACCUGGUUUUAAAGUAUACAGAACCUUAGAUGAUACAGUGAUAUUUGACUCUAUUAAUACAGGAGGUUUCAUAUUUGCUGAUCAGUUUUUGCAGAUAAGCGCUCUUUUGCCGAGCCAUAAUAUUUAUGGUAUUGGCGAACAUAAAACGAAGCUAAAAUUAAAUACUAAUUGGCAAAUGUUUACAUUAUUGAACAAGGAUCAACCACCAAUAGAAAAUGCAAAUUUAUAUGGAUCUCAUCCCUUCUAUCUCAUAAUUGAAAAUUCCGGAAGGUCUCACGGGCUUCUAUUUCUCAAUAGUAAUGCAAUGGAUGUGAUAUUACAACCGUCGCCUGCUAUUACCUUUCGAACUAUUGGUGGUGUUUUUGAUAUAUAUUUCUUUCUGGGUCCAACCCCGACAGAUGUCAUAAAACAAUAUUCUGAGAUAAUAGGCAAACCAUUUCUCCCACCAUAUUGGUCUCUUGGUUUUCAUUUAUGCAGAUACGGAUAUGGAACCUUAGAAAAAACAAAGGAAAUAUGGAAUAGAACCAUAGCAGCGGGAAUUCCAUUUGAUACUCAAUGGAAUGAUUUAGAUUACAUGGAUAAAAAUAACGAUUUCACAUAUAAUCCAAAAACAUUUAAGGAGUUACCACAAUUUGUGAAUGAAAUACAUUCAAGAGGAAUGCAUUAUAUUCCCUUAAUCGAUGCGGGAAUAUCUGGUUCUGAAAAGCACGGAACUUAUUUGCCAUAUGAUGAAGGUAUGAAAGAAGAUAUAUUUAUAAAAGAUGGAGCAACUGAUCAGCCAUUUGUUGGCAAGACGUGGAAUUUUGUUUCUACUGUGUGGCCUGAUUUUACGAAUCCCAAAACGCAAAACUAUUAUUUCCACAUGAUGAGCAACAUGCAUGAUAGUUUUGCAUACGACGGUGCUUGGAUCGAUAUGAAUGAGCCAUCUAAUUUUUACGAUGGACAUAAAAAUGGAUGUCCAAAAAGUAAAUUGGAUUAUCCGAAAUAUGUACCGAACGUUGUAGGAGACAUACUCGCAACAAAAACAUUGUGCAUGAACGCUAAGCAUUACUUAGGUCUUCAUUAUGAUCUUCAUAAUACUUAUGGCACAAGUCAAGCAAUAGCAACGAAUUAUGCACUAACCAAUAUUCGACGAAAAAGACCAUUUAUAAUAUCGCGUUCAACUUGGGUGGGUCAUGGGCACUAUGCUGGUCAUUGGACAGGAGAUGUUUAUUCCUCAUGGCACGAUUUAAAAAUGAGUAUUCCAGCAAUAUUGUUGAUGAAUUUUUACCAAAUACCAAUGGUUGGUGCUGACAUUUGUGGAUUUAAUGGAAAUACAACAGCGGCAUUAUGUAAUCGUUGGAUGCAACUUGGUGCAUUUUAUCCUUUUUCUCGUAAUCAUAAUUCCGACGAUACAAUCGAACAAGAUCCAGUUGCUAUGGGCGAUUUAGUAAUAAAAUCAUCAAAGCGUGCCCUUACGAUACGUUACUGGUUGUUACCCUAUUUAUAUACGUUAUUAUUUCGAGCACAUAAAUUUGGAGAAACUGUAGCACGACCAUUAUUCUUUGAAUACUCGAACGAUUCGGCCACAUACGAUAUCGACACUCAGUUCUUAUGGGGUAGUUCUUUGAUGAUAAUUCCAGUUUUAGAAGAAAACAAAACGAAAGUAUCAGCUUAUUUACCACAUGGAGUGUGGUAUAAUUUUUAUACAAAAGAAUCCGUCUUCGCGCUGGGUAAAUAUUACACGAUGAAUGCGCCACUCGAUACUAUACCAUUGAUGAUUCGCGGAGGAUCCAUUUUACCAGUACAGAAACCAGCUGAUACUACAACUAGCAGUAGAAAGAAUAAUUUCGAAUUAUUGAUUACUUUGGAUCAUGUGAAAAAGGCAAAAGGCGAACUAUAUUGGGAUGAUGGCGAUAGUUUAGAUUCGCUGGAGAAGGAACAAUUUGUAUGGUCAGUUUUCACCAUUGAGAAUGAUACUCUAUCCACUGCCAAAGCAAUGAAGAGUUCUUUUAAUGAAAAAAUGAUCUUAGGAGGAAUACAAAUAUGGGGAAUAACAUCUAAUAUUUCACAAGUAUCUUUAAACAAUCACGAAAUACAAUUUAAAUAUGACAGCAAAGAAAAUUGUUUGAACAUAAGCAACUUACAAAUAGACUUAAGAGAGAAUUUCUUGCUUUCUUGGGAAUACACUGAUUUUGAACAACACGAUGACAGUAACAAAUGACAGUAAACUUGCUCAAAAUAUAUGUUCACUUGUAUUACAUAUAAUAUUGUUGCUACAGCCAGAACUAGGAGCAACGGAGUUAGGCUUAGCGAGGCAAUACGUUCGUGUUCAAAGUAACUAUAGUUGGUUAUCGUAUUCUUAUCGUUUCGAUAUUUCCUCUCUUCUCCCCCUCUUACUUCCUUCUAUUUCGCUUUCCCACUUUUGUUCGCGUUUCUCCUCUCUUUAGUUCUUUAACUCCUUUUUUCGUUCUGUUUUUCCUUCGUCCACAGUCUAUUGCACUAACUUUUUAUUUAUUGCAUCAAACAAGCGUGCGUCGGGUGAUACAUUUAAACGGAUUCUUGUUUGAAGCUUACGUGUCGUCGUGAAUAUCUUAAAUCAUAGUUAUAAUCGUUUACCAAUCCUACAUUCGUAAUCGAAAUCCAGAAAUUAAAAGUGGGCUAAUGAAAGAAAUACGAAAAAAGCCAAUAUCAUGGAAAUAACUAGGCGCGUUCUUUUCCCCUUCUUACUUACAAUUCCUUCGGUGCAUACUUACUAAUGACAACUUCUCUUUUCACGUGGUAGCUUUCCGUAAAUGCGCGUUUCGUUCGUGCGCGCAUUGGAAUCACCGAGGCUGUUACAAGGAUACAAGGAUACCGGAAGAAAUGGAAUAACGAUAAAACCGAUAGUCGAAGAACAACAAUUUACCCAGUUUUCGCGGAAGAAUCAAAGAAUUCAGCCGAAUGGUUACGUGAUGAAAUAGACCAACGUACUGACAAUGAGAAUACACGGAGCUUUUUCUUCUGACCGACAAAAUGAUUGAUAUCAGUACAAGAGGGAAUAGUAGCUGCGAAAUAACAGCGGCCAUAUAAAGAAAGAAGUACGGCAGAACAACAGGGUUAUUGUUCGUCGGUGAUGGUCGUCGCGACGAUCGACUGACUGCUUGUUCCUCGCGGCGGUACGCUGCUUCCUCAACAGCGAUUGCGCGCCUUUUUCCACGCAAGCGCAAUUCACGGUCGAUAUCGCUCUGGAUUUUACCCCUCAGCCCAGCCAGACACCCUCUCCACCCUGCUUCAGACUCUUUCCAUACCUUUUUCGUUCCUUCAACCCUCCUUCUUCGAUUUUCUCGUCUACAAUCUUUCGUCUUUCUUUCCUCCAACUCGGUCAUUCGCUGUACUUUCUUUCAACUAACAGAGUCCAAUUCCGACUGCUGCUACUACGCUAAUUCCUCAUUAUCUUCAGAGAAUAUGUUUCUUUGGAGGAGAAUUCAAUACUCAUCGAUAUGUCAGUAAAGUUGUUGUCAAUAAAAUAGUUAUUUAUUCA